UUUUUUUCUCGAAAUUUAUGAUUAUUAACUCUUUUUUUCUUUUCUUUUAGUUCCAAAAAAGGAGACAGCAAACUUUAUGGACGUCACAUAUAUAUAAAUAUAUCAAGGACAACACAACGUUUACGCUUCUUUCCGGAGGAAACAGAUUUUGAACGCCAGGCAAACCCUCAAAUGAAGCUGGACUUGUUGACUGGUCCUUUUACACUGCCGGCGUUCUGGGCGGGAUCAAUAACAGGCACAGCAAAAAGCUCAAAGUUGCAGCUGGCCAGUUUACAAUUCAAAUCUCCACACCCUCAAUGUAACUUUUUUUGGCUUUUUUCUCCUGUGGACAACUUGCCACUACCUUGCGUUACCAAAAAGAAAAGGCAAUUUCCCGCCGUUGUGCUGACCAAAACCGGACAAUUUUCGGUGCUUCCAAAAAAGCUUGAUACACCACCGGAAUAUUCCUGUUGGAGCAACACACAUCACAUAUAACAACACAUUACUCAACAAACCAUUGUUACAAACUACUUACACAAUAAAAAAAAAUCGCAACACACAAAUUAAAUUUUUCCACUUCUGCACUGCUCUCUAGCUAAGUUUCACCGGUAACGUCUUAUUCUUAACUUUGGCUUUUCUUAUGCUCGCAGCCUUUUAUACCCCUCUUCUCAGUGAAUCCCGCCAGACGCUCAUUUUCCACGAAACACCAUUUUCCUAAGCCAUUUUCAAUUUUCAUUCCUUUUUCUUUUCAACUGUCAAUAGCCAUUUUUUUAUUCUAUUGUGAAUUCUCAUUUCAGCUCACCCCGGAGUAGUAGUAGGUUCCCACCUACUCAGCAAUCAUAGGGCUGCCUAGUCACUUCGUAGCCUGAGUCACCCUGUCAUUCACUACCUUUAUAAUACUCUUUAACUCAACCCUGUUCGAGCCUAAUUUCGUACGUAGCGAACCCUAACAAACCAUUUCCGGCAUUUUGAUCCCAUCGCCACCCAGACUACACACCCCGCAGAAAUUACAAGCAAAUUGAAAUCUCGAAGCAUCCUCACCAUCCUCACUAAAAACCCAAGAAAACUGAGCAAAUCCAUUUGAGGACCAAUUAUGGGAUGCACUACCAAUAGAAUUGGGAUAAUUUCUGCGGUGGUUGUGGACAGGUUUUGCCAAAAAAACCCGGCCCCAUAUAUUUGUUGCCUUUUUGCGCCGAAUGUGAACGGCCUGCAACAAAACUUCAACUUCGGCCAGAAAAUCGAGGACGGAGGUGAUGUGCACGGCCGCAUUACUCAUUUACGUGGGGACAUCCCACUCCCUGAAGGUCUCAUGCCGGGCAUAAGCUCCGAACAGCAGGCUGGUCAAAGCCCUCCCCCUCAUGCUGAUCUGUGAAACAUGUCUUGCUGGUUCGCCUGAUAAUUCUCGAUCCGACACCCUGAAAUUAUCGUGUCACUAUCAAACAUCGAUCGAGUUCCCCUAUAGCAGGUCAACAUUUGGGAAGAUCAAAAACGCUCAUAAAUUUUAAAAUACGCAUUCAUUCAUUUAUAAAAUCCCGCAUUCAGUAUUUCUACUAAGACAAGCUCAGAGGAACGGAUGGGAUUUAUCGGCCCACUCCUUUGGGACCUUCACUACAAAAAGGUAAACAUCCGGAACAACCCAAUAAUUCUAUCAACCCAAGACCUUGUGUGGAGUUGGAAUAUAUUUGUCCUCUCCGGCGGAUCUACACUGGUAAUACCCACCAGCUUUCAAUGAAAAAUUCUCCGAUUCCAUCAAAAUUUCACACAUUCUUCUUGGUUAUGGAUAUAAUCUUCAAAGUUGGAAUCUAUACGUACUUUGAUACACAAAUAAUUUGAUCAAAUUAUUGAAAUCAUGGUACAAUAAAAAAGUAAGGUGGUGAAACAUUUUGCAUGCGGAAAUAUUUGUGCCUAUGCCUGUCUUGUCGUCGUGGUUGCCGAAGAACGGAUUUUAUAUGCGGUAUAUGCUGAUGUGAUUGAUAGUUCCAAAAAAGGAGACAGCAAACUUUAUGGACGUCACAUAUAUAUAAAUAUAUCAAGGACAACACAACGUUUACGCUUCUUUCCGGAGGAAACAGAUUUUGAACGCCAGGCAAACCCUCAAAUGAAGCUGGACUUGUUGACUGGUCCUUUUACACUGCCGGCGUUCUGGGCGGGAUCAAUAACAGGCACAGCAAAAAGCUCAAAGUUGCAGCUGGCCAGUUUACAAUUCAAAUCUCCACACCCUCAAUGUAACUUUUUUUGGCUUUUUUCUCCUGUGGACAACUUGCCACUACCUUGCGUUACCAAAAAGAAAAGGCAAUUUCCCGCCGUUGUGCUGACCAAAACCGGACAAUUUUCGGUGCUUCCAAAAAAGCUUGAUACACCACCGGAAUAUUCC
This is an RNA transcript of Musca domestica (house fly), 2353 nucleotides long. RefSeq lists it as uncharacterized. The record is from RefSeq and is a predicted model, not a curated record. The transcript is spliced from 6 exons. Lineage: Eukaryota; Metazoa; Arthropoda; Insecta; Diptera; Muscidae.